RNAcentral lists this transfer RNA (71 nucleotides) under Cricetulus griseus (Chinese hamster). It matches the Rfam family "tRNA". Rfam says of the family: Transfer RNA (tRNA) molecules are approximately 80 nucleotides in length. The record is from Rfam by way of RNAcentral. Lineage: Eukaryota; Metazoa; Chordata; Mammalia; Rodentia; Cricetidae.
UGGAAUAUAGCUCAAUGGUAGAGCUUCAUUUACCAUGCACAGGGCCCUGGGUUCAAUCCCCAGUACUGCAC